Molecule: long non-coding RNA, 207 nt
Filed under: Lathyrus oleraceus (garden pea)
Lineage: Eukaryota; Viridiplantae; Streptophyta; Magnoliopsida; Fabales; Fabaceae
Description: Pisum sativum (pea) long non-coding RNA (PSAT_LNC034746)
Source: RNAcentral
AUCAAGGACAACAAGUUCUCUCAUAGCUCUUUGGUCAGUCAUGUUAAACUUAAUAGAAAAGAAAAAAAAUCAACAAAUAAUAAGAAAACACAACUAACUCAGCAAUGCAGCAACAAAUAGGAAAAUAUUGACAAUGUCCCUAUUAAGAAAAAACAAUUGAAAUACGAAAAAAACGAUUAAAAUAAAAUACAAAAAAUACAAAAACAC